Molecule: ribosomal RNA, 440 nt
Filed under: uncultured bacterium
Lineage: Bacteria
Description: partial 16S ribosomal RNA
Rfam family: Bacterial small subunit ribosomal RNA
Source: RNAcentral
CCUACGGGCGGCAGCAGUGGGGAAUAUUGCACAAUGGAGGGAACUCUGAUGCAGCGACGCCGCGUGAGUGAAGAAGUAAUUCGUUAUGUAAAGCGCUAUCAGCAGGGAAGAAAGUGACGGUACCUGAAAAAGAAGAUCCGGCUAAAUACGUGCCAGCAGCCGCGGUAAUACAUUUGGAGCAAGCGUUAUCCGGAUUUACUGGGGAGAAAGGGAUAGUAGGUGGCAGAGCAAGUCCGAAGUGAAAACCCAAAGGUCAACUAUGGGAAUGCUUUAGAAACUGCUCAGCUAGAGUGCAAGAGAGGCAAGUGGAAUUCUAAGUGUAGCGGUGAAAUGCGUAGAUAUUAGGAAGAACACCAGAGGCGAAGGCAGCUUGCUGGACUGUAACUGACGCUGAGGCUCGAAAGCGUGGGGAGCAAACAGGAUUAGAUACCCUUGUAGUC